Molecule: ribosomal RNA, 253 nt
Filed under: uncultured bacterium
Lineage: Bacteria
Description: partial 16S ribosomal RNA
Rfam family: Bacterial small subunit ribosomal RNA
Source: RNAcentral
UACGGAGGGUGCAAGCGUUAUCCGGAUUCACUGGGUUUAAAGGGAGCGCAGGCGGAUUGGUAAGUCAGUGGUGAAAGGCUUAAGCUUAACUUGGGAACUGCCAUUGAUACUAUCAGUCUUGAAUGUUGUUGAGGUUUGCGGAAUGGGUCAUGUAGCGGUGAAAUGCAUAGAUAUGACCCGGAACACCUAUUGCGAAGGCAGCAGGCUAAACAAAUAUUGACGCUGAGGUGCGAAAGCGUGGGGAGCAAACAGG